AGGAAAGCAGGGGAUCGCAAGACCUUGCGCUUUUGGAGCGGCCGAUGUCUGAUUAGCUAGUUGGUGAGGUAAAGGCCUACCAAGGCUUCGAUCAGUAGCUGGUCUGAGAGGACGACCAGCCACACUGGGACUGAGACACGGCCCAGACUCCUACGGGAGGCAGCAGUGGGGAAUUUUGGACAAUGGGGGAAACCCUGAUCCAGCCAUGCCGCGUGAGUGAAGAAGGCCUUCGGGUUGUAAAGCUCUUUCAGCCGGAACGAAAAGGUUACGGUUAAUACCCGUGACUAAUGACGGUACCGGAAGAAGAAGCACCGGCUAACUACGUGCCAGCAGCCGCGGUAAUACGUAGGGUGCGAGCGUUAAUCGGAAUUACUGGGCGUAAAGCGUGCGCAGGCGGUUUUGUAAGUCAGAUAUGAAAUCCCCGGGCUCAACCUGGGAACUGCGUUUGAAACUACAAGGCU
RNAcentral lists this ribosomal RNA (461 nucleotides) under uncultured beta proteobacterium. RNAcentral's name for it is "bacterial SSU rRNA". It matches the Rfam family "Bacterial small subunit ribosomal RNA", at positions 200 to 642 of the family's 1533-position model. The record is from RNAcentral. Lineage: Bacteria; Pseudomonadati; Pseudomonadota; Betaproteobacteria.